UAGGGAAUCUUCGGCAAUGGGGGGAACCCUGACCGAGCAACGCCGCGUGAGUGAAGAAGGUUUUCGGAUCGUAAAGCUCUGUUGUUAAGGAAGAACGAGUGUGAGAAUGGAAAGUUCAUGCUGUGACGGUACUUAACCAGAAAGGGACGGCUAACUACGUGCCAGCAGCCGCGGUAAUACGUAGGUCCCGAGCGUUGUCCGGAUUUAUUGGGCGUAAAGCGAGCGCAGGCGGUUAGACAAGUCUGAAGUGAAAGUCAGUUGCUCAACCAUUGUAGGCUUUGGAAACUGUUUAACUUGAGUGCAAAAGGGGAGAUUGGAAUUCCAUGUGUAGCGGUGAAAUGCGUAGAUAUAUGGAGGAACACCGGUGGCGAAAGCGGCUCUCUGGUCUGUAACUGACGCUGAGGCUCGAAAGCGUGGGGAGCGAACAGG
This 429-nucleotide ribosomal RNA is filed under the name Bacteroidota bacterium. RNAcentral's name for it is "Bacteroidetes bacterium partial 16S ribosomal RNA". It matches the Rfam family "Bacterial small subunit ribosomal RNA", at positions 355 to 776 of the family's 1533-position model. The record is from RNAcentral. Lineage: Bacteria; Pseudomonadati; Bacteroidota.